This 695-nucleotide long non-coding RNA is filed under the name Mytilus galloprovincialis (Mediterranean mussel). The record is from RNAcentral. Lineage: Eukaryota; Metazoa; Mollusca; Bivalvia; Mytilida; Mytilidae.
AAAAUCGGUCUAGUUAUUUGCCUAAAUCUGCAAAUUUCGAAACAGAUUUGCAAUUCAAUGGUUAGACUGUUUUUUCUAUUUAAAGAAAACUUGUUAAUAAAUCGUAUUAUUCAAAAUAUUUUUACAAAUAUCAAUUUUUUUUGUUUCAAAAUCAUUUUUUUCAAAUGAGCCAUUUAAGGGGAGAUAACUCUUUUAGUACAAAAUUUAUACUGGGUUAAUAGGGAUUUUUUUAAUUUUUACUUGUAGCAAGAAAAUAAGUUCGGUGACACCAUGUUUUCUUUUUAUUUUCUUAAAACAUAUUAUGAAACCUAUCUUCUCACAAUAUAUUUCAAAAUUCUAUCUCAUAGAAUUUUUUUCAUGCACACUAAUGAGUAUUUUCAUGAACAAUCUUACCAAAUUUUGGCAAUUUUCAACGACUCAUAGCUUGAAAAAUAGCACGGUGACCCGUACUUUUUAUUAUAUUUUUGAAAAGAGCAUAGUAAAAUCUUCAUUUUGGCAAAUUAUAAAAAAAUUCUGUCUCAAAAAAUAUAUACUUGUGAUCUACCUUAAAAGGCCAAAAACAAAGUUGAAAAGCAUUCAGGAAAUACAACUAAUACCGGCGUCACACAUCAGCGUAUAGCUCCGGCGUGUUAAAAAUCAUUUACGCUGCCAAUAUGCUUUAAGCGUGUAUUGGGCGUACUAGAAGCGUACCUAAG